This 283-nucleotide ribosomal RNA is filed under the name uncultured bacterium. Its description in RNAcentral is "partial 16S ribosomal RNA". It matches the Rfam family "Bacterial small subunit ribosomal RNA", at positions 933 to 1215 of the family's 1533-position model. The record is from RNAcentral.
UGGAGCGUGUGGUUUAAUUCGAUGCAACGCGAAGAACCUUACCUGGGCUCGAACGGCUCACGAAAGCGCCUGGAAACAGGUGUUUCCCGCAAGGGACGGGAGUCGAGGUGCUGCAUGGCUGUCGUCAGCUCGUGUCGUGAGAUGUUGGGUUAAGUCCCGCAACGAGCGCAACCCUUGCCCUGUGUUGCCACUCCGUAAGGAAGCACUCUCAGGGGACCGCCAGCGAUAAGCUGGAGGAAGGUGGGGAUGACGUCAAGUCAGCAUGGCCUUUAUAUCUUGGGCA